AUACGUAGGCAGCAAGCGUUGUUCGGAGUUACUGGGCGUAAAGAGUGCGUAGGCGGUCCUCUAAGUUCGGUGUGAAAUCUCCCGGCUCAACUGGGAGGGUGCGCCGGAAACUGGAGGGCUUGAGUAUGGGAGAGGAAAGCGGAAUUCCUGGUGUAGCGGUGAAAUGCGUAGAUAUCAGGAGGAACACCUGUGGUGUAGACGGCUUUCUGGACCAUGACUGACGCUGAGGCACGAAAGCGUGGGGAGC
This 247-nucleotide ribosomal RNA is filed under the name uncultured bacterium. RNAcentral's name for it is "partial 16S ribosomal RNA". It matches the Rfam family "Bacterial small subunit ribosomal RNA", at positions 523 to 769 of the family's 1533-position model. The record is from RNAcentral.